RNAcentral lists this ribosomal RNA (496 nucleotides) under uncultured bacterium. Its description in RNAcentral is "partial 16S ribosomal RNA". It matches the Rfam family "Bacterial small subunit ribosomal RNA", at positions 29 to 507 of the family's 1533-position model. The record is from RNAcentral.
AUGAACGCUUGCGGCGUGCCUAAUCCCUGCCAGUCGCGCGAACAGACGAGGAGCUUGCUCCUCUGACGUUAGCGGCGGACGGGUGAGUAACACGUGGAUAACCUACCUAUAAGACUGGGAUAACUUCGGGAAACCGGAGCUAAUACCGGAUAAUAUAUUGAACCGCAUGGUUCAAUAGUGAAAGACGGUUUUGCUGUCACUUAUAGAUGGAUCCGCGCCGCAUUAGCUAGUUGGUAAGGUAACGGCUUACCAAGGCAACGAUGCGUAGCCGACCUGAGAGGGUGAUCGGCCACACUGGAACUGAGACACGGUCCAGACUCCUACGGGAGGCAGCAGUAGGGAAUCUUCCGCAAUGGGCGAAAGCCUGACGGAGCAACGCCGCGUGAGUGAUGAAGGUCUUCGGAUCGUAAAACUCUGUUAUUAGGGAAGAACAAAUGUGUAAGUAACUAUGCACGUCUUGACGGUACCUAAUCAGAAAGCCACGGCUAACUACGUG